GCGCGUAAAUUGCCCGAAUCCUGACACAGGGAGGUAGCGACAAGAAAUAACAAUACAGGGCUACUUUAGUCUUGUAAUUGGAAUGAGUACAAUUUACAUCUCUUCACGAGGAUCAAUUGGAGGGCAAGUCUGGUGCCAGCAGCCGCGGUAAUUCCAGCUCCAAAAGCGUAUAUUAAAGUUGUUGCAGUUAAAACGCUCGUAGUCGGAUUUCGGGGCGAGCCUGCCGGUCUGCCGAUGGGUAUGCACUGGCAGGGUCGUCCUUCCUUCCGGAGACUGUCCCUACUCUUAACUGAGCGGGGUCGGGAGACAGAUCGUUUACUUUGAAAAAAUCAGAGUGUUUCAAGCAGGCAGCUCGCUCUUACAUGGAUUAGCAUGGGAUAAUGAAAUAGGACUUUGGUGCUAUUUUGUUGGUUUCGAACACCGAAGUAAUGAUUAACAGGGACAGUCAGGGGCACUCGUAUUCC
Molecule: ribosomal RNA, 464 nt
Filed under: Haptophyta environmental samples
Lineage: Eukaryota; Haptophyta
Description: SSU rRNA
Rfam family: Eukaryotic small subunit ribosomal RNA
Source: RNAcentral